CAGAGGGUGCGAGCGUUGUCCGGAAUCACUGGGCGUAAAGGGCGCGUAGGUGGCGAUCCAAGUCCAUGGUGAAAGCUCGAUGCUCAACAUCGAGUCGGCCACGGAUACUGGGUUGCUUGAGCACUGUAGGGGCAGAUGGAAUUCCGGGUGUAGCGGUGGAAUGCGUAGAGAUCCGGAAGAACACCGGUGGCGAAGGCGGUCUGCUGGGCAGUUGCUGACACUGAGGCGCGACAGCGUGGGGAGCAAACAGGAUUAGAUACCCUGGUAGUCCACGCCGUAAACGAUGGGCACUAGAUGCUUGGGGGGAGCGACCCCCUGAGUGUCGUCGCUAACGCAGUAAGUGCCCCGCCUGGGGAGUACGGCCGCAAGGCUG
This 373-nucleotide ribosomal RNA is filed under the name uncultured organism. Its description in RNAcentral is "bacterial SSU rRNA". It matches the Rfam family "Bacterial small subunit ribosomal RNA", at positions 526 to 896 of the family's 1533-position model. The record is from RNAcentral.